AAACUGAUGAUCAGGUGCUUGAAGUGACUUCCGAAGAUCAGGAAGACAGCAUAUGGCAGGGACAGGAACCCACGCCUACGCCCCAGCCUCUUUUUACCGAACCUUGUUCUUCAGGAAGUGGUUAAAACACCUGGGCUACUCCCAGCAAAACGCCAGUCACGCAGUCCUGAAACAGGUCCUCUAAGGUGCCCAGCCCAACACAGGCUGGGCGUGCUGAGCCAACAGAAUGUUUGUUCCUCUGUCCCUUCCUAGAACCCCAAGUCACCUUUCUCCAGCCAGUUAAAAACGUUACUUUUAACUAGGAUGACGUUUCAAUUUAUCGGCCAUAUCCAAGCAUUUCUGAGAAUGAACUGUGAGACAUGCUAUUAAUAAAUUAACCAUGAACAGCA
This is a long non-coding RNA of Homo sapiens (human), 389 nucleotides long. The record is from Ensembl. Lineage: Eukaryota; Metazoa; Chordata; Mammalia; Primates; Hominidae.